ACGAAGCGGAAGCAGCAA
This 18-nucleotide small nuclear RNA is filed under the name Arabidopsis thaliana (thale cress). RNAcentral's name for it is "snRNA_09613". The record is from RNAcentral. Lineage: Eukaryota; Viridiplantae; Streptophyta; Magnoliopsida; Brassicales; Brassicaceae.